Non-coding RNA from Podarcis lilfordi (Lilford's wall lizard), 75 nucleotides. Lineage: Eukaryota; Metazoa; Chordata; Lepidosauria; Squamata; Lacertidae. The record is from the annotation of a GenBank genome assembly.
ACCUAGGAGAUAGCUCAGUUGGUACAGCAUGAGAUUCUUAAUCUCAGGUCAUGGGUUCAAACCUCAUGUUGGGCA